UCACUUUAGCAGCAAACAGACUAAAGUUGGAAUGAUACCAAGAAGAUUAGCACGGCCCAUUUGCUGAGAUGAUACAUAAAUUUGUGGUGCAUUCCAGGGACAA
Molecule: small nuclear RNA, 103 nt
Organism: Cricetulus griseus (Chinese hamster)
Lineage: Eukaryota; Metazoa; Chordata; Mammalia; Rodentia; Cricetidae
Source: Ensembl